UCCCUCCACCCCUUGUGCUUGUGGCUGAAGAUAUUAGCUCUCAGCUAUUGCUCUAGCUCUGUGCUCGCUGCCAUUAUAAUCGUGGGCUCUAGCCCUCUGGAACCGUUAGCCCCAACUUAAAUGCUUUCUUUUAUAAGAUACUUUACUUAUGAUGUCUUGUCAUAGCGACAGAAAAGCAACUACAGCAGAAAAUAUUACCAUAAUUACCAUAUUACAGGAAGUGGAAUCUAGGGGGCUGAGGGGCGCAUUGACAAAGAGGAAAACCUUGCAGAGGUAGGAUUUUUUUCCUACAAUCCCAAAUCCAGUGCCUUAGAUAGCUUGGACACUACUACCACACGAGAGUAUUUCCUUGAAGGCCCGCUGGGUGUCGUCAUUCCCCCGUCCCCUAUUUGACAAGUGCUAGAGAACGCCAAUGGCCUCCGAUCCCUAACCACCCAGGAAGGGGAAGGAGGCACGCAAACAACUCCUUGACCUGUGAUUUGCAAAAUAAAAGCCACUGCAUCCCAUCGCCCACCCCACUGCAGCAUUCAAGAUUCAUCAGUUCACCGAGAGAAUUCCCACCAGGCAGAAAGCCAAAGGCCGAUCACUUUAAAAUGCAGGAUUCCAAUGCUUUAAAAGAACAAUCGCUGUUAUGACGUAAUCUGUAUUAGUAAAGUUCUGCACCCCCAACCCCCUCGUUCCUUGAACAUGAAAGAUUUGACUCAAUUAAAAAGAGUCUAAGUCCCUCAGUCAAGGAAGAUAUAAAACGAAAAGGUCCAUUUCUAACAGGAAAAAAGUCUGCAAGCUCCUUCAAGUUCAUCUUCCACAGAUUUCCAAGAGUUUGUAUAAAGAACAGUUUAUUCGUUAAGCUUUGAGCUCUCUCUUUGAAAUCCUGGACCUAAGAGUAGUAAGAAGACUGCGUGCAGUGUGUUGAAUAGUCUGUGGGACAUAGGAAGAUGACCUUGCAGUGCAGUGUCAUCUUUUGAUGAUGUGCAGUGAAGAGCUCGUCUAAUUGACAGGCUUCAAGGGGAAAGCCUGUGGCCAAGGAGUUUCGAGGUGUGGUUUGUAGACACCAGGCCCCUCCACAGGACGGGGAAUUGGACGGCAGAUCGGGAACUGAGAGAGGACAGAUGGACAAGGAAUGCAGAAUUAGAUGGUGCCUGGCGCAUACUGGGCGUACGGAAAACCAAACAAACCCCUGCUGAACAUUUCUGGCUCCACAGAGAGAUACCGAGAGCUGGAUAUAAAAUACAAUCUUAACCCAGAGUAUUUGUCUUCCUCGCUUACUUAUUUCUCUUUUAGACUUUUUCCUGAAUCUUGCAGUUUGGAUGACUUAGAAAUUCUGUCAAGACCGAAAGCCUAGCCUGGUGAGAAUGGACCAUAAGUGUUCGUGGUUUAUUUUUAUAUUUUAAUUUUGUUUCGUUUUUGACGAGGAGUAUCUAUCAUGAGUGGGACUAAGUGAUCCAAUAAUAAGCAAUACCAGAAGAAUGGUUUAAAGGACCAACCCGGCAAGUACACAUAUCUUACACCUUAAUCCGCCUUUACACACAUCUUUCCUUGCAUAUUGGCUCUCUGGCCUUCCUUUCUUUUACACCCGGGCAGGGCAGUUGCCUUGCCCCAGUGUUUAUGUAAUAACCAAAUGCCAAGCAUAUUUGAAAGGCACCUGAAAAUUCUCCUGGCUC
Molecule: small RNA, 1661 nt
Filed under: Rattus norvegicus (Norway rat)
Lineage: Eukaryota; Metazoa; Chordata; Mammalia; Rodentia; Muridae
Description: uncharacterized LOC102547106
Source: RNAcentral